RNAcentral lists this long non-coding RNA (370 nucleotides) under Setaria viridis. RNAcentral describes it as "long non-coding RNA (SVIR_LNC006729)". Lineage: Eukaryota; Viridiplantae; Streptophyta; Magnoliopsida; Poales; Poaceae. The record is from RNAcentral.
CAGUCUAUCAUCAUUGGUAUGAUACUGCAAAGAUUAUUGCACAAACUUUAAAUUCAAUGCAACAAUGGUGAUGGCAUUAAUUAUUUCCAAACUCAUUCUUCUAACCUCGCCACUGUGGGUUGCACAUCCUUCAUGCACUCUUGCAUCUUUAGUUGUCAUGUCUAUUUGGUUGGUUAGCACAACCUCGUUGCGCACAAAGUCUCCGCCAAAAGCAUCCUGUAAUACAAUUAACACAUCUCUUUUAAUAUUUCUUGCUGAUAUGCAAGUUAACUUGUGUCUUUCCCGUAUUUAAACUACUUCCAUCACAAAUCAUACCAGAUUUGUUGCAAGAACCAUUUUCCCCUUUAUACUCUCUCUGGCUUCAUUUCCA